This 254-nucleotide ribosomal RNA is filed under the name uncultured bacterium. RNAcentral's name for it is "partial 16S ribosomal RNA". It matches the Rfam family "Bacterial small subunit ribosomal RNA", at positions 524 to 776 of the family's 1533-position model. The record is from RNAcentral.
UACGUAGGGUGCGAGCGUUAAUCGGAAUUACUGGGCGUAAAGCGUGCGCAGGCGGUUAUUUAAGUCAGGUGUGAAAGCCCUGGGCUUAACCUAGGAAUUGCGCUUGAGACUGGAUAGCUUGGAGUGCGGCAGAAGGAGGUGGAAUUCCACGUGUAGCAGUGAAAUGCGUAGAGAUGUGGAGGAACACCGAUGGCGAAGGCAGCCUCCUGGGCCAGCACUGACGCUCAUGCACGAAAGCGUGGGGAGCAAACAGG